This 82-nucleotide transfer RNA is filed under the name Echinostoma caproni. It matches the Rfam family "tRNA". From Rfam's summary of the family: Transfer RNA (tRNA) molecules are approximately 80 nucleotides in length. Their secondary structure includes four short double-helical elements and three loops (D, anti-codon, and T loops). Further hydrogen bonds mediate the characteristic L-shaped molecular structure. tRNAs have two regions of fundamental functional importance: the anti-codon, which is responsible for specific mRNA codon recognition, and the 3' end, to which the tRNAs corresponding amino acid is attached (by aminoacyl-tRNA synthetases). tRNAs cope with the degeneracy of the genetic code in two manners: having more than one tRNA (with a specific anti-codon) for a particular amino acid; and 'wobble' base-pairing, i.e. permitting non-standard base-pairing at the 3rd anti-codon position. The record is from Rfam by way of RNAcentral. Lineage: Eukaryota; Metazoa; Platyhelminthes; Trematoda; Plagiorchiida; Echinostomatidae.
GGCCUCGUAGCUCAGUUGGGAGCGUGUGCUGUACAAAAGCGUAGGCGGCGUUCAUGCUUGAGUUCGAAUCCCACCGAGGCUA